CCGAGUUUACAACUCCCAAACCCCUGUGAACAUACCACUUGUUGCCUCGGCGGAUCACCGCGCCCCGUGAAACGGGCCGGCCCGCCAGAGGACCCAAACUCAAAUGUCUUAUUGUAUCUUCUGAGUAAAAAAACAAAUAAAUCA
This 144-nucleotide unclassified non-coding RNA is filed under the name uncultured Fusarium. RNAcentral's name for it is "sequence contains ITS1". Lineage: Eukaryota; Fungi; Ascomycota; Sordariomycetes; Hypocreales; Nectriaceae. The record is from RNAcentral.